UACGAAGGGGGCUAGCGUUGCUCGGAAUCACUGGGCGUAAAGGGCGCGUAGGCGGAUCUUUACGUCGGGGGUGAAAGCCCAGGGCUCAACCCUGGAAUUGCCUUCGAUACUGGAGAUCUUGAGACCGGAAGAGGUAAGUGGAACUGCGAGUGUAGAGGUGAAAUUCGUAGAUAUUCGCAAGAACACCAGUGGCGAAGGCGGCUUACUGGUCCGGUUCUGACGCUGAGGCACGAAAGCGUGGGGAGCAGACAGG
This 253-nucleotide ribosomal RNA is filed under the name uncultured bacterium. RNAcentral describes it as "partial 16S ribosomal RNA". It matches the Rfam family "Bacterial small subunit ribosomal RNA", at positions 524 to 776 of the family's 1533-position model. The record is from RNAcentral.